Molecule: ribosomal RNA, 427 nt
Filed under: uncultured bacterium
Lineage: Bacteria
Description: partial 16S ribosomal RNA
Rfam family: Bacterial small subunit ribosomal RNA
Source: RNAcentral
UGGGGAAUAUUGGACAAUGGGCGAAAGCCUGAUCCAGCCAUGCCGCGUGUGUGAAGAAGGUCUUCGGAUUGUAAAGCACUUUAAGUUGGGAGGAAGGGUUGUAGAUUAAUACUCUGCAAUUUUGACGUUACCGACAGAAUAAGCACCGGCUAACUCUGUGCCAGCAGCCGCGGUAAUACAGAGGGUGCAAGCGUUAAUCGGAAUUACUGGGCGUAAAGCGCGCUUAGGUGGUUAGUUAAGUUGGAUGUGAAAUCCCCGGGCUCAACCUGGGAACUGCAUUCAAAACUGACUGACUAGAGUAUGGUAGAGGGUGGUGGAAUUUCCUGUGUAGCGGUGAAAUGCGUAGAUAUAGGAAGGAACACCAGUGGCGAAGGCGACCACCUGGACUGAUACUGACACUGAGGUGCGAAAGCGUGGGGAGCAAACA